RNAcentral lists this long non-coding RNA (767 nucleotides) under Monodelphis domestica (gray short-tailed opossum). RNAcentral describes it as "lncRNA (ENSMODG00000036161.2)". The record is from RNAcentral. Lineage: Eukaryota; Metazoa; Chordata; Mammalia; Didelphimorphia; Didelphidae.
CUCCACCUUUAUUCACAAUAACAAUCACCAAAUAACAGAAUCAAAAAAAAAUUCUCCUAACAUGUGCUUUUGGCCCUUUAAGUUAGCCUUUUAAAUUGCCCAUUUAAUGAUUAAAUCCCCCUUAUGCCCAACAAGAGUCAGAGUUCCAUGUUCCAGGACCUUGGAGAGCAACCAGGUGCUGGGAAGGACAAUGGAAUGUUGCAAGAUGACCUAACUGUCAGCUGCUAUAAACUACUUUUAAUCUGAUCUGUCCUAGGCAAAUUUCUGUGUAUUCUCCUAUCUGGCUUGCCAACUGAAAUAGUGAAGCAGCAGUAAUGAAGUGAAUAAGGCUAUGGAUCUGAAGUCAUGAAAUUGCUUGCUAAAAAAAGAUGCACUAGCAAUCUGGUCUCAGUGUUCUCAUGCAAUGAUGAAAUAAAAAAAAAAGUCAAACAUCUGAUUGCCUCUCUGAACCACUUGGGCAAACCCCAAAUUAUAAAGAAUGGUUUGGAACCAUUUAAAGGAUGUCCCAACUCUGCCUGAAUCCUGAGAUGCCUUUGUAAAAAGACAGAAUUCACAGCUGUUAAUCAUGUGACCAGAGCAACAGGCCAGGGAAAUCACAGGAAAAGAGGAUAUGCAGUAAGUAGCCUAGAAGAAAAUACAACAAUCUGAACAAAGUUGGAAGCAGUAAAUUUUCUUCAAGUUGCUGAAGACAGUUCAAUUUGCAAAAGCCUUGGAAGUAUUUCUCAGACUAGAAUAAAAGACAUCAAAACAAAUACGAAUAGGAAAAU